CAGCCGCCGCGGUAAUACCGGCGGCCCGAGUGGCGGCCACUAUUAUUGGGCCUAAAGCGUCCGUAGCCGGGCUGGUAAGUCCUCCGGGAAAUCUGGUCGCUUAACGAUCAGACUUCCGGAGGAUACUGCUGGCCUAGGGACCGGGAGAGGCCGAGGGUAUUCCCGGGGUAGGGGUGAAAUCCUGUAAUCCCGGGAGGACCACCUGUGGCGAAGGCGCUCGGCUGGAACGGGUCCGACGGUGAGGGACGAAGGCCAGGGGAGCGAACCGGAUGAGAUACCCGGGUAGUCCUGGCGGUAAACGAUGCGGACUAGGUGUCGGGCAAGCUAAGGGCUUGUCCGGUGCCGCAGGGAAGCCGUUAAGUCCGCCGCCUGGGGAGUACGGCCGCAAGGCUGAAACUUAAAGGAAUUGGCGGG
This 414-nucleotide ribosomal RNA is filed under the name uncultured microorganism. RNAcentral's name for it is "bacterial SSU rRNA". It matches the Rfam family "Archaeal small subunit ribosomal RNA", at positions 459 to 872 of the family's 1478-position model. The record is from RNAcentral.